UACGGAAGGCAGCAGUGGGGAAUAUUGCACAAUGGGCGCAAGCCUGAUGCAGCCAUGCCGCGUGUAUGAAAAAGGCCUUCGGGUUGUAAAGUACUUUCAGUCGUGAGGAAGGUGUUAAGGUUAAUAACCUUAGCAAUUGACGUUAGCGACAGAAGAAGCACCGGCUAACUCCGUGCCAGCAGCCGCGGUAAUACGGAGGGUGCGAGCGUUAAUCGGAAUUACUGGGCGUAAAGGGCACGCAGGCGGUUAAUUAAGUUGGAUGUGAAAUCCCCGGGCUUAACCUGGGAAUGGCAUUCAAGACUGGUUAGCUAGAGUCUUGUAGAGGGGGUUAGAAUUCCAUGUGUAGCGGUGAAAUGCGUAGAGAUGUGGAGGAAUACCGGUGGCGAAGGCGGCCCCUGGACAAAGGCUGACGCUCAUGUGCGAAAGCGUGGGGAGCGAAAC
Molecule: ribosomal RNA, 441 nt
Filed under: uncultured bacterium
Lineage: Bacteria
Description: bacterial SSU rRNA
Rfam family: Bacterial small subunit ribosomal RNA
Source: RNAcentral